GUCUACGGCCAUGCCACCCUGAACAAACCCAGUGUCUGAUCUCGAAAGCUAAACAGGGUUGAGCCUGGUUAGUACUUGGAUGGGAGACCACCUAAGAAGACCAGGUGUUGUGGGCA
This 116-nucleotide ribosomal RNA is filed under the name Pteropus alecto (black flying fox). Lineage: Eukaryota; Metazoa; Chordata; Mammalia; Chiroptera; Pteropodidae. The record is from RNAcentral.